UACGUAGGCAGCAAGCGUUGUUCGGAAUUACUGGGCGUAAAGGGUGCGUAGGCGGUUUGGUAAGUCUUAUGUGAAAUCUACAGGCUCAACUUGUAGUCUGCAUGAGAAACUGCCGGGCUUGAGUAUGGGAGAGGUGAGUGGAAUUCCUGGUGUAGCGGUGAAAUGCGUAGAUAUCAGGAGGAACACCUGUGGCGAAAGCGGCUCACUGGACCAUAACUGACGCUGAUGCACGAAAGCUAGGGGAGCAAACAGG
RNAcentral lists this ribosomal RNA (253 nucleotides) under uncultured bacterium. RNAcentral's name for it is "partial 16S ribosomal RNA". It matches the Rfam family "Bacterial small subunit ribosomal RNA", at positions 524 to 776 of the family's 1533-position model. The record is from RNAcentral.